AAGUCGUAACAAGGUUUCCGUAGGUGAACCUGCGGAAGGAUCAUUAGUGCGAUAGCGCGCUGCACCUGUGCAGCGAUGCUAGCCAUCCUUGUGUUGUGUCUUGACGUUGCCCUCUCGGGGGCAGCCUUUUUAACCCGUAUCUCCUGUCUUAUCUACCGCUCGCAAGAGCACAACAACCGAAAACUGCCAGCAAUGGAUCACUCGGUUCUC
RNAcentral lists this unclassified non-coding RNA (210 nucleotides) under fungal sp. Its description in RNAcentral is "partial internal transcribed spacer region". The stretch from base 1 to 46 matches the Rfam family "Eukaryotic small subunit ribosomal RNA", at positions 1786 to 1831 of the family's 1831-position model. Lineage: Eukaryota; Fungi. The record is from RNAcentral.